RNAcentral lists this ribosomal RNA (253 nucleotides) under uncultured bacterium. RNAcentral's name for it is "partial 16S ribosomal RNA". It matches the Rfam family "Bacterial small subunit ribosomal RNA", at positions 524 to 776 of the family's 1533-position model. The record is from RNAcentral.
UACGUAGGGUGCGAGCGUUAAUCGGAAUUACUGGGCGUAAAGCGUGCGCAGGCGGUUUUGUAAGACAGGUGUGAAAUCCCCGGGCUUAACCUGGGAACUGCACUUGUGACUGCAAGGCUGGAGUACGGCAGAGGGGGAUGGAAUUCCGCGUGUAGCAGUGAAAUGCGUAGAUAUGCGGAGGAACACCGAUGGCGAAGGCAGUCCCCUGGGCCUGUACUGACGCUCAUGCACGAAAGCGUGGGGAGCAAACAGG